GUUUCCAGCUGGCAUCCUUUGGACAAAGGCCUUCCCACCUUACCCUGAUUCCAGGACAUCUCUGGUGCAGCGGAGGCUGGAGCACUGGAGAGUCCUUCAGUUAAGAACGCUGUUUCUCCGAUUGGACCUUAGCUGACCGUACCCAGGAAUGGGGAUGUGUGGAGGUAAGCUGUCCUAUUCCUCCUGCCUGUGUUUGCUGAAGGGACUUCCGUGGCCAUUUCUCCUUUAUAUCAGCAAAUGCGAAUGACCGACGAUCUGAGCUAUUGAGGCAAAACUCCACAACCAAUCCAUCAGCCUGAGAAAAGCCGGACUACCACCCCCAGCUUUGAGAGCCGUAUGUACCCCAACUUUGGUGUCUCUAGCCGCUCCAGCCGCACAGGCUCUGGAGAAAUUUUCUUCGAUGCAAGUGACCACCGCCUCCUCGCGCCCUUAAGCAAUUCAUGCUUCUCCCCCUAAGCACAGCAUUUAAACGACUUAGGGGUUGCUGAAAGUGAACCAACCACUGGCUUUCGAGCAGUAGCUAGAGAAGAUACGAAACCCGGCAUACUGGACCCGACUCGGAAUUUAUGAGAGAAGCGAGGAGGUAAGCUGGCCUGUUGUGAAGGCCUCAGCCAAGUGAAGGAAUAAAGGACCGCAUAGGAAAGUCAUUGGAGCAGCAGGAGGCGACGGCAACACAGCCCUUGGCUGGUGUGGUUGUGUCGGUGGAUGCAUAGACUACAACACACUGAAAUACUCCAGGCCUCUGUACUGGAUUAAUCCGCUCUUGGAUGGAUUUGUGGGUUACUGUUGGGGUGUUGUUAUAACUGGCUGCCGCUGGCUCUGCUCACUCCAUAAUGCCCUGGUCGCUUUUAUUCCGGGAGUCCCCACCGCAAGAAGGCUGUCACCAGAUGCUCAGCUUUGGAUUUCCCAGUUUAUCUGGGUUCCUAAAGCUGGGAAUUAAGAAUUCUCUACAAAUAUACCCUCUAUAAAUUAUGCUGUCUAUGGUGUUCAGUCACAGCUGCAGA
RNAcentral lists this long non-coding RNA (1004 nucleotides) under Cricetulus griseus (Chinese hamster). RNAcentral's name for it is "lncRNA (ENSCGRG00015038003.1)". Lineage: Eukaryota; Metazoa; Chordata; Mammalia; Rodentia; Cricetidae. The record is from RNAcentral.